AUUGAAGUAGCUAAAGUAAAGAGCGCUAUAUUGAAGCUAUAGAGGUGGUUAUACUCUUCAGUG
Molecule: transfer RNA, 63 nt
Filed under: Eurythenes magellanicus
Lineage: Eukaryota; Metazoa; Arthropoda; Malacostraca; Amphipoda; Lysianassidae
Description: tRNA-Phe
Source: RNAcentral